UACAGAGACUGCGAGCGUUAUUCGGAUUCACUGGGCGUAAAGGGUGCGCAGGCGGCCGUGUGUGUUGGGCGUGAAAGCCCGGAGCUUAACUCCGGAAUUGCACCCAAAACUACAUGGCUAGAGCAUUGGAGAGGGUAGCGGAAUUCACGGUGUAGCAGUGAAAUGCGUAGAUAUCAGGAGGAACACCUGUGGCGAAAGCGGCUCACUGGACCAUAACUGACGCUGAUGCACGAAAGCUAGGGGAGCAAACAGG
RNAcentral lists this ribosomal RNA (253 nucleotides) under uncultured bacterium. Its description in RNAcentral is "partial 16S ribosomal RNA". It matches the Rfam family "Bacterial small subunit ribosomal RNA", at positions 524 to 776 of the family's 1533-position model. The record is from RNAcentral.